This 309-nucleotide unclassified non-coding RNA is filed under the name air metagenome. RNAcentral's name for it is "partial contains small subunit ribosomal RNA, internal transcribed spacer 1, and 5.8S ribosomal RNA". The stretch from base 1 to 46 matches the Rfam family "Eukaryotic small subunit ribosomal RNA", at positions 1786 to 1831 of the family's 1831-position model. The record is from RNAcentral.
AAGUCGUAACAAGGUUUCCGUAGGUGAACCUGCGGAAGGAUCAUUAUUGAAUGAACUUGGCGUGAUUGUAGCUGGUCCUCUUGGGGGCAUGUGCACAUCCGUCAUCUUUAUCUCUCCACCUGUGCACACUUUGUAGGUCUGGAAUAACUUUCCGAGGCAACUCGGUCGUGGGGAACUGCUCUCAAGCUUUCCUUACAUUUUCCAGGUCUAUGUUUUCAUAUACACCACAAGAAUGUAAUAGAAUGUUUUUAUUGGGCCUUGUUGCCUAUAAACUAUAUACAACUUUCAGCAACGGAUCUCUUGGCUCUC